CGAGUUUGAUCAUGGCUCAGAUUGAACGCUGGCGGAAUGCUUUACACAUGCAAGUCGAACGGUAGAGGGGGCAACCCCUUGAGAGUGGCGAACGGGUGAGUAAUAUAUCGGAACGUGCCCAGUCGUGGGGGAUAACGUAGAGAAAUUUACGCUAAUACCGCAUACGAUCUAUGGAUGAAAGCGGGGGAUCGCAAGACCUCGCGCGAUUGGAGCGGCCGAUAUCAGAUUAGGUAGUUGGUGAGGUAAAGGCUCACCAAGCCGACGAUCUGUAGCUGGUCUGAGAGGACGACCAGCCACACUGGGACUGAGACACGGCCCAGACUCCUACGGGAGGCAGCAGUGGGGAAUUUUGGACAAUGGGCGCAAGCCUGAUCCAGCAAUGCCGCGUGCAGGAUGAAGGCCUUCGGGUUGUAAACUGCUUUUGUACAGGAAGAAACACUACUUCGUGAAGUAGCUUGACGGUACUGUAAGAAUAAGGAUCGGCUAACUCCGUG
This 494-nucleotide ribosomal RNA is filed under the name uncultured bacterium. RNAcentral describes it as "bacterial SSU rRNA". It matches the Rfam family "Bacterial small subunit ribosomal RNA", at positions 9 to 507 of the family's 1533-position model. The record is from RNAcentral.